Molecule: ribosomal RNA, 247 nt
Filed under: uncultured bacterium
Lineage: Bacteria
Description: partial 16S ribosomal RNA
Rfam family: Bacterial small subunit ribosomal RNA
Source: RNAcentral
UGAGUAACGCGUGAGGAACCUGCCCUUCAGAGGGGGACAACAGUUGGAAACGACUGCUAAUACCGCAUGAUACAUUUGAAUCGCAUGGUUUGAAUGUCAAAGAUUUAUCGCUGAAGGAUGGCCUCGCGUCUGAUUAGCUAGUUGGUGGGGUAACGGCCCACCAAGGCGACGAUCAGUAGCCGGACUGAGAGGUUGGCCGGCCACAUUGGGACUGAGAUACGGCCCAGACUCCUACGGGAGGCAGCAG